RNAcentral lists this ribosomal RNA (325 nucleotides) under uncultured bacterium. RNAcentral's name for it is "bacterial SSU rRNA". It matches the Rfam family "Bacterial small subunit ribosomal RNA", at positions 373 to 710 of the family's 1533-position model. The record is from RNAcentral.
GGGCGCAAGCCUGAUGCAGCGACGCCGCGUGAGGGAUGGAGGCCUUCGGGUUGUAAACCUCUUUUAUCGGGGAGCAAGCGAGAGUGAGUUUACCCGUUGAAUAAGCACCGGCUAACUACGUGCCAGCAGCCGCGGUAAUACGUAGGGUGCAAGCGUUAUCCGGAAUUAUUGGGCGUAAAGGGCUCGUAGGCGGUUCGUCGCGUCCGGUGUGGAAGUCCAUCGCUUAACGGUGGAUCCGCGCCGGGUACGGGCGGGCUUGAGUGCGGUAGGGGAGACUGGAAUUCCCGGUGUAACGGUGGAAUGUGUAGAUAUCGGGAAGAACACC